CAAUCCAUUCUCAACACCAAAACUCCACGGUCUUCACUGCACACCUGGAUCGCAUUGUUUCGAAGUCGUUUUCGCCAUCAUCACAAUCCGAAUCGGUUCGGAUUCAUCCUCAUCUUCGCUGAAUUGCUGCAACCGGAGUCCAAUACGAAUCUGAUCCUAGCUAACGCUUAUUCCUGAAAUGCGACAUGGAUAUCUCCGGCGAAGGCGAAGACAAUCCGGCGGCCACACACAAUCUCUCAUUCUCGAUCUGAAUCUUUCAACCAUUUCCUGCAGUCGUGUUUGCAUCGUUCCACUUGUUCCUGAAGGAUGUUAUUUUUCGAUUUCGGCACUUCUGAGAUUGGAAUCUUUGCGAGGCUUGGACUCACACAAGAUCGAACGAAAUCGGUAUCAGGAUUCAACGCAGUGAUUCUUCGAAAUAAAUUUCACAGGUAAUGUUUCAUCUCUUCCUCUUCGUCUCGCUUCUUCAAUUUCUUCGAGCUUCCUCUACCUUCUUCUUCUUCAUUUUUCUGCGGUUACCAUUGUUAUUGAUGCGUUGUGUAUCCGUGAUGCAGGUUAGUGAAAAUCUGCAGAAGUUGAAUAAGGGCUAGAGAUGGAGAUUUGCAGGGAGUAUGAACAAGAAUGAAAAAGAAACUGAGUUUUGCAGAAUCAAUGGGUGCUGAAGAUUGCAGGUAGCGUAUGGUUGUUACAGUUGCAGAGUGAAGGGUGGAUAACAGAAUGAAGAGAUAAGAGAAAGAUUGAAAGAGUGAAGAAAACUCGUGGCCCGAGCCAAUGGUGAGAACUGCCAAUUUAUAGAGUUUCUAUGAAGUGAUUUUGUUAACUCUGUUAAUCUCUUCUCCCACCAAAUUUGUUAAUCGUUGAAACUCUGUUAGUUAGUUAGUUUUUUAAAUUGAUUCUUCUGUUAAAUUUCUGUUGACAAUCUCAAAUGGCUUUUGAUUCUCUGUGGUGAAUGCAGCUUCUGUUAUCAUGGAUGGUUCGAAAAAAUGCAGGUGUUUUUGAACUUGGAUGCGCAAGCCUUGUCGUUUACUGCGUUUCGCAUUUACUCUAAGCUUGCUUUGGUCGUUUCUGCGUUUUGCAUCUUCACAUGUACUUGGUGUUGCAAGCACUUUAUGUUGUGCAAGCCGCAUUCUGCAGCUUGUAUUCCAGUUGCCUUGUGUUUUCAUCUUGUACUUUUCUUCUGCAUUUCCACUGUUCACCUCUUGGUUUGGACAUGACUUAAUACAUGGAUGAGGAUUAAUGGGUUAAUUGGACUAUGAAAAAUGAGAAAAAGGUUUUGGAUAAUAAUUGGAAUUGGUCAAAUAAGUGUGGUUUAAGAACUGGAAAAUGGGCAAUUGCAUUAUGAAAAAUGGGCAAUUGCAUUAUGAAAAAUGGACAAUAAUGGAUAUGGAUUUGGAUUUAGUUAGAUGGAUAAUUGGAUGUGGAUUGUAAAUUGGUUAUCAAAAAUUUCUUUAAAAACCAAUAUUUAAAUCAAUUGUUUUAGAA
This 1479-nucleotide long non-coding RNA is filed under the name Lathyrus oleraceus (garden pea). RNAcentral's name for it is "Pisum sativum (pea) long non-coding RNA (PSAT_LNC030391)". Lineage: Eukaryota; Viridiplantae; Streptophyta; Magnoliopsida; Fabales; Fabaceae. The record is from RNAcentral.